UCUCCGUAGGUGAACCUGCGGAGGGAUCAUUACUGAGUGAGGGCUCACGCCCGACCUCCAACCCUUUGUGAACACAUCUUGUUGCUUCGGGGGCGACCCUGCCGUUCGGCGCGGCGCCCCCGGAGGCUCAUCAAACACUGCAUCUCUGCGUCGGAGUUUAAAACAAAUUAAACAAAACUUUCAACAACGGAUCUCUUGGUUCCAGCAUCGAUGAAGAACGCAGC
RNAcentral lists this unclassified non-coding RNA (224 nucleotides) under uncultured fungus. RNAcentral describes it as "sequence contains ITS1, 5.8S rRNA gene". The stretch from base 176 to 224 matches the Rfam family "5.8S ribosomal RNA", at positions 1 to 49 of the family's 154-position model. Lineage: Eukaryota; Fungi. The record is from RNAcentral.